RNAcentral lists this ribosomal RNA (207 nucleotides) under uncultured Peptostreptococcaceae bacterium. RNAcentral's name for it is "partial 16S ribosomal RNA". It matches the Rfam family "Bacterial small subunit ribosomal RNA", at positions 568 to 775 of the family's 1533-position model. Lineage: Bacteria; Bacillati; Bacillota; Clostridia; Peptostreptococcales; Peptostreptococcaceae. The record is from RNAcentral.
UGCGUAGGUGGUUUCUUAAGUCAGAGGUGAAAGGCUACGGCUCAACCGUAGUAAGCCUUUGAAACUGGGAAACUUGAGUGCAGGAGAGGAGAGUGGAAUUCCUAGCGUAGCGGUGAAAUGCGUAGAUAUUAGGAGGAACACCAGUUGCGAAGGCGGCUCUCUGGACUGUAACUGACACUGAGGCACGAAAGCGUGGGGAGCAAACAG